UGGGUUCAGUGACUACAGACC
RNAcentral lists this microRNA (21 nucleotides) under Oreochromis niloticus (Nile tilapia). RNAcentral's name for it is "oni-miR-10944". The record is from miRBase by way of RNAcentral. Lineage: Eukaryota; Metazoa; Chordata; Actinopteri; Cichliformes; Cichlidae.